GGGGAUCUAGCUCAGUGGUAGAGCGCUUGCCUAGCAAGCACAAGGCCCUGGGUUCGGUCCCCAGCUCCA
Rattus norvegicus (Norway rat) is the source of this 69-nucleotide non-coding RNA. The record is from Rfam. NCBI's taxonomy places the organism in Eukaryota, Metazoa, Chordata, Mammalia, Rodentia, Muridae.